GACGGACCNUACCGCGUGAAGGAUGACGNCCUAUGGGUUGNAAACUUCUUUUCUCAGAGAAGAAUUUUGACGGUAUCUGAGGAAUAAGCAUCGGCUAACUCUGUGCCAGCAGCCGCGGUAAGACAGAGGAUGCAAGCGUUAUCCGGAUUAAUUGGGCGUAAAGCGUCUGUAGGUGGUUUAUCAAGUCUUUUGNCAAAGAUCAGGGCCUAACCCUGGGCAGGCAGAANAANCUAAUAANCUUGAGUUCGGNCGGGGCAGANGGAAUNANCGGNGGAGCNUUGGUUUGCGU
RNAcentral lists this ribosomal RNA (289 nucleotides) under uncultured alga. RNAcentral's name for it is "partial 16S ribosomal RNA". It matches the Rfam family "Bacterial small subunit ribosomal RNA", at positions 385 to 691 of the family's 1533-position model. The record is from RNAcentral.